AUGAAGCUCUCGUUCGUCACUGCCAUAUCGGCACUAGUGCUGCUAGCCGCACAGCAUGCCUCCCUCGCCGCCGCCGGCAGAGGCCCCAGGGUCAUCAUAGUCGGCGCCGGCAUGUCCGAAUUUCUGGUGGUAACGCCCGACGACUGGCGCGUGGCGUGCAGCAUGAGGAGACCCUGCAACAAGCCAUGCUUGCCCGGAUGGGCGGAGAUCGAGCAGGAGUGGAUUCUGUGGUGCACCAGGAUGAGGGUGCCCACGAAUCUUACCUUGUCACGGCCGGCUCUCCUCUCUCCCUCCGCGUUAUGCAUUGGUAGCUUUGUUGGAUUGGCAACGCCGGUGAAGUUCGAUAUUGGAGAUCAAUUGGCGUGGAUCUUGAAGCAUGUGCUUGACACGUCAUGUUUCUCGUUCGUUCGUUCCAGGAACUCCUCGGCCCGAACGAACGCCUUAUCCUCUCCACCGUCACUUUUUCCUUCUGGGCUUCUUUUCCCCAUCCCCAUCAUCUUCACUGAGAGAGAGAGAGAGUCGAGCUGGAGCAGCCGCGCCUUGCCGCCACUCACCGGUGAGGCCUCGCAGCGCCCCGUCGGUGGCUUAGAUUUCGGGGAGGCGCUCGAGGGGAGCGACGGCGGCGGAGACCUGGGAGGCGGCGGAGGUGCUGCUCGCAGGAAGUGGCGGUGGCGGCGGCUGCCACACCAGCGGAGCUGUCCAAUGCCACAGCAGGGCAAGCGGGGAGCGACGCCGGCGGCGACCUGGGAGGCAGCAGAGGUGCUGCUAGCAGGGAGCGGCGGCGGCGGCGACCGACCCUCCAGUGGAGCUAUUCAACGCCGCAGCGGGGCCCUACAACGGCUUCGGCACGUGGACUUCUACCUCGGCGCCGUCUUCGGCAGCAUCGAUACGGGGAUGGUGGUGGCUAUGCUCAUCUCAGUGUUGCAGGUGCGGCUCUUCUUGGCGCGGCCGAGGACGAUGGUCAUGGGCAACGUGCCAGAGACGCCCAUCUACCGGUGGAUGGACCAGUACACGACGUGCUCGACGGCACCCUUCGCGAGAAGAUCACCCGGUGGAUUGACGACGACGACGAACGAACCUCGUCCUCAACAUGUGUGGUACGUUACAACAACUUGGUCUCAAAUUUUGCCCACAUCUGAGCAUCUCAAGCAGAGCAUGUCUGAAACGUGCCUUUCUGGACAGAGCGAUUGGCAGCAUCGACACCAGUGGUACGAGUAUGCAUUUUGA
This 1227-nucleotide ribosomal RNA is filed under the name Triticum aestivum (bread wheat). RNAcentral describes it as "partial small subunit ribosomal RNA". The record is from RNAcentral. Lineage: Eukaryota; Viridiplantae; Streptophyta; Magnoliopsida; Poales; Poaceae.